GAUGAACGCUGGCGGCGUGCCUAAUACAUGCCAGUCGAGCGAACGGACGAGAAGCUUGCUUCUCUGAUGUUAGCGGCGGACGGGUGAGUAACACGUGGAUAACCUACCUAUAAGACUGGGAUAACUUCGGGAAACCGGAGCUAAUACCGGAUAAUAUUUUGAACCGCAUGGUUCAAAAGUGAAAGACGCUCUUGCUGUCACUUAUAGAUGGAUCCGCGCUGCAUUAGCUAGUUGGUAAGGUAACGGCUUACCAAGGCAACGAUGCAUAGCCGACCUGAGAGGGUGAUCGGCCACACUGGAACUGAGACACGGUCCAGACUCCUACGGGAGGCAGCAGUAGGGAAUCUUCCGCAAUGGGCGAAAGCCUGACGGAGCAACGCCGCGUGAGUGAUGAAGGUCUUCGGAUCGUAAAACUCUGUUAUUAGGGAAGAACAUAUGUGUAAGUAACUGUGCACAUCUUGACGGUACCUAAUCAGAAAGCCACGGCUAACUACGUG
This 497-nucleotide ribosomal RNA is filed under the name uncultured bacterium. Its description in RNAcentral is "partial 16S ribosomal RNA". It matches the Rfam family "Bacterial small subunit ribosomal RNA", at positions 28 to 507 of the family's 1533-position model. The record is from RNAcentral.